Molecule: transfer RNA, 73 nt
Filed under: Cynoglossus trigrammus
Lineage: Eukaryota; Metazoa; Chordata; Actinopteri; Pleuronectiformes; Cynoglossidae
Description: tRNA-Asn
Source: RNAcentral
UAGAUGGAUGCUCGUUGGCUUGGGCGGUUGGCUGUUAACCAACAUUUUGUAGGAUCGAAACCUGCCCAUCUAG